This 1150-nucleotide long non-coding RNA is filed under the name Felis catus (domestic cat). RNAcentral's name for it is "lncRNA (ENSFCAG00000046994.1)". Lineage: Eukaryota; Metazoa; Chordata; Mammalia; Carnivora; Felidae. The record is from RNAcentral.
CCCCAACCCCGUUUCUAAGUUACAGAUGAUUUCUGGAAUGGCUGGGAUCAGGAUGCGUAUACCACAGCUGUAAGGCUUUACUGGUUCCGAUUCAUGACAUUUGUUACCUUGGAAAUGUGGGGAGUGGGUAGUCGUCUAUCGUUAAGUGGGAUAAAGCAUGUAAAAUACCAGGCACUGAAUAAAAGUGUGUUACCUUCUCUUUCAGGCACCGCCAUGGAGAAGAAGAUUAACUGGCAAUCAUUCAAACUAAUCAUUUCUUGGGUUCGUGGAAUCUGGAACCAGAGCGAUGGUUGGAAUGUGAAGAGCUUCUUUUAUACAGCUGAGCCUGAUAGCUGGAGGAGUCUAGACGUAUAUCAGAAGAAAGGAAAAAUUAAUAGGAAAUGACUAGAUUUUACACCCGAUCGUUUGGAACAUUCCAAAACCAAGAGAAGCCUUUCUUGUCACACGUGAUUUCAUGAUAAUUAGGGCCAGCUGUGUCUGGGCAAUUCAGGUCAAGCCAGAUGCCAAACCCAACUGGAACACUUACAGGAAGAUCCUCAUCGUCAAGAACCUCCAAACAUCCUGUAGAAAAUCGAAAGAAGCAACAGCAGCAGCAGCAGCAGCGAAUCCUUUCAAGAAAGAGGACACUCGCUGGGCAGAAGCGUGUUGGAAUGUGAGUAAACACACAGAGGGCCUCAGAAACCUAGAGAGCAGCAGCGGUCAGGGGGCUGCACACAAGCCGAAGCCACCGUCCUCUGUGAGGAUCGGUCCCCGCUGCUGCAGAAUGUGCACAGGUCACUGCCAACCCCACGGUAACACACCCCCAGGGAGUCACCCUGGCUCCUUAAUCAGGGUCACAUGGUUCUCUCUCCUGUGGGAAACCCCUUCAGGAGAGGAUUCGAGCUUGGGAGCGCAGGCUGGAAUCCACUUACUGUUCUUUCUCAUGCCUAAGCCAGGCCACUCUGGCCAUAUUUCAGUGUGUUCAAUUCAGAUCACAUUUGAGCCUCCAGAAGGGACACCUAAUCAACACCACUGUUUUCUCUUUUUUUUUUUUUUUUUAAUUUUUUUUUCAACGUUUAUUUAUUUUUGGGACAGAGAGAGACAGAGCAUGAACGGGGGAGGGGCAGAGAGAGAGGGAGACACAGAAUCGGAAACAGGCUCCAGGCUCUGA